AAAAUAGUCCUUCUUCUUUUGUCGGAAGGGCAAGUGGUAAUUCGCCACCCUACAGCCAGUCAAUGCCACAUAAAGGUAAAGUCCUCGACAAAGCCAGGGUCAUAUGAGGACAAGUGUCGACGUGGCACAGACGGAACGAGGAAGUAUAUAGACAAAAAGAAAAAGUUUUCAAGACACAGAUUUGCGACAAAAUCUCAAUGAGUUCACGACAAUAUGACGGCUUUGAUCAGGAUUACGAACCUCAAAUAUUCCCACCAGUAGGGGCCAGUGGUUAUCCAUCACCCUAUAGCCAGCCAUUGACACAUACAGUGUUUGACGUCCUCGAAGGAGCAAAUGUCAGACCUGCUACCAUUGUAUCCGUCUGCAUAAUCGAAGCACUGAGACUGAAGCAGGGCAACUGUAGAAUCUGAUUUUCUUCUGUGAGACAUUUGAGAAAAUAAAUUUGUAUAUG
This 451-nucleotide long non-coding RNA is filed under the name Mizuhopecten yessoensis (Yesso scallop). Its description in RNAcentral is "uncharacterized LOC110446303, transcript variant X1". Lineage: Eukaryota; Metazoa; Mollusca; Bivalvia; Pectinida; Pectinidae. The record is from RNAcentral.